This 117-nucleotide signal recognition particle RNA is filed under the name Nomascus leucogenys (northern white-cheeked gibbon). RNAcentral's name for it is "Metazoan signal recognition particle RNA". It matches the Rfam family "Metazoan signal recognition particle RNA". Rfam says of the family: The signal recognition particle (SRP) is a universally conserved ribonucleoprotein. It is involved in the co-translational targeting of proteins to membranes. The record is from Rfam by way of RNAcentral. Lineage: Eukaryota; Metazoa; Chordata; Mammalia; Primates; Hylobatidae.
GCUGGGUGUGAUGGCUCACGCCUGUAAUCCCAGCACUUUGGGAGGCUGAGGCGGGAGGAUCACCUGAGGUCAGGAGUUCAAGACCAGCCUGGCCAACAUGGUGAAAUCCUGUCUCUA